This 76-nucleotide transfer RNA is filed under the name Pseudomonas putida B6-2. RNAcentral's name for it is "tRNA-Ile". It matches the Rfam family "tRNA". From Rfam's summary of the family: Transfer RNA (tRNA) molecules are approximately 80 nucleotides in length. The record is from RNAcentral. Lineage: Bacteria; Pseudomonadati; Pseudomonadota; Gammaproteobacteria; Pseudomonadales; Pseudomonadaceae.
AGGUCUGUAGCUCAGUUGGUUAGAGCGCACCCCUGAUAAGGGUGAGGUCGGCAGUUCAAUCUGCCCAGACCUACCA